GCUCUCAUUAGGACUAAGCCAGUCCCAUGGAGCCCCAAGAGGAGAAGAGGCCAAUGAGCCAAGCCGUUCCUGCCUGUGGCCUGGAAAUCAGAGCUGCUUCGAGCAAGCUCUGCGCGGGCUCUUUAAGGGUCCCCCACCCCCUUUCCAGUUUGACCACAUCUGUAGGCUCUGUUGAAACAGAGCCAACAUAAACAAAAACAAACUGAAACCCAGCAGCCAGCGAGGGCGGGAUGUGCCACCCAUCUGGGCAGGCCACGUGCAGGGCUGAGGACUGCCAAGGCACACCUCCUGCUGGUAAAAGGCACCGUGUGGAGUAAUUAACCUCCAGGGCUUGGUGAGUGAAAAGCACCAUGUAACCAUGCUGGGUAAUUGAAGAGGAA
This 380-nucleotide long non-coding RNA is filed under the name Homo sapiens (human). RNAcentral's name for it is "HSALNT0056105". The record is from RNAcentral. Lineage: Eukaryota; Metazoa; Chordata; Mammalia; Primates; Hominidae.